RNAcentral lists this ribosomal RNA (279 nucleotides) under uncultured bacterium. RNAcentral's name for it is "partial 16S ribosomal RNA". It matches the Rfam family "Bacterial small subunit ribosomal RNA", at positions 506 to 784 of the family's 1533-position model. The record is from RNAcentral.
UGCCAGCAGCCGCGGUAAUACGGAGGGUGCAAGCGUUGUUCGGAAUCAUUGGGCGUAAAGCGGGUGUAGGCGGCUUGGCAAGUCGGGUGUGAAAUCCCAGGGCCCAACCCUGGAACUGCAUUCGAAACUGCCUCGCUCGAGCCCCGGAGAGGAUGGCGGAAUUCCCGGUGUAGAGGUGAAAUUCGUAGAUAUCGGGAGGAACACCAGCGGCGAAGGCGGCCAUCUGGACGGUGACUGACGCUCAGACCCGAAAGUGUGGGUAGCGAACAGGAUUAGAUA